UACGGGGGGGGCAAGCGUUGUUCGGAAUUACUGGGCGUAAAGGGCUCGUAGGUGGCCAACUAAGUCAGACGUGAAAUCCCUCGGCUUAACCGGGGAACUGCGUCUGAGACUGGAUGGCUUGAGUGUGGGAGAGGGAUGCGGAAUUCCAGGUGUAGCGGUGAAAUGCGUAGAUAUCUGGAGGAACACCGGUGGCGAAGGCGGCAUCCUGGACCAUAACUGACACUGAUAAGCGAAAGCCAGGGGAGCAAACGGG
This 253-nucleotide ribosomal RNA is filed under the name uncultured bacterium. RNAcentral describes it as "partial 16S ribosomal RNA". It matches the Rfam family "Bacterial small subunit ribosomal RNA", at positions 524 to 776 of the family's 1533-position model. The record is from RNAcentral.